ACUCCUACGGGAGGCAGCAGUGGGGAAUAUUGCACAAUGGGCGCAAGCCUGAUGCAGCCAUGCCGCGUGUAUGAAGAAGGCCUUCGGGUUGUAAAGUACUUUCAGCAGUGAGGAAGGUGGAUAUGUUAAUAGCAUAUUCAUUUGACGUUAGCUGCAGAAGAAGCACCGGCUAACUCCGUGCCAGCAGCCGCGGUAAUACGGAGGGUGCGAGCGUUAAUCGGAAUUACUGGGCGUAAAGCGCAUGCAGGUGGUUUGUUAAGUCAGAUGUGAAAGCCCGGGGCUCAACCUCGGAAUUGCAUUUGAAACUGGCAAACUAGAGUACUGUAGAGGGGGGUAGAAUUUCAGGUGUAGCGGUGAAAUGCGUAGAGAUCUGAAGGAAUACCGGUGGCGAAGGCGGCCCCCUGGACAGAUACUGACACUCAGAUGCGAAAGCUGGGGAGCAAACAGGAUUAGAUACCCUGGUAGCUCUGG
This 471-nucleotide ribosomal RNA is filed under the name uncultured bacterium. RNAcentral describes it as "bacterial SSU rRNA". It matches the Rfam family "Bacterial small subunit ribosomal RNA", at positions 335 to 799 of the family's 1533-position model. The record is from RNAcentral.